RNAcentral lists this ribosomal RNA (2890 nucleotides) under Vibrio campbellii. RNAcentral's name for it is "23S ribosomal RNA". It matches the Rfam family "Bacterial large subunit ribosomal RNA". Lineage: Bacteria; Pseudomonadati; Pseudomonadota; Gammaproteobacteria; Vibrionales; Vibrionaceae. The record is from RNAcentral.
GGUUAAGUGACUAAGCGUACACGGUGGAUGCCUUGGCAGUCAGAGGCGAUGAAGGACGUAUUAACUUGCGAUAAGCCCAGAUUAGGUAGUAAAAACCAUUUGAGUCUGGGAUUUCCGAAUGGGGAAACCCACUAGCAUAAGCUAGUAUCGCUGCGUGAAUACAUAGCGCAGCGAGGCGAACCGGGGGAACUGAAACAUCUAAGUACCCCGAGGAAAAGAAAUCAACCGAGAUUCCGAAAGUAGCGGCGAGCGAAAUUGGACUAGCCCUUAAGCUUUUUAUGCGUCAGGUGAAACUUCUGGAAAGUUGUGCGAUACAGGGUGAUAGCCCCGUAACCGGCAACGCAUAUAAAGUGAAAUCGAGUAGGGCGGGACACGUGAUAUCCUGUCUGAAUAUGGGGGGACCAUCCUCCAAGGCUAAAUACUACUGACUGACCGAUAGUGAACCAGUACCGUGAGGGAAAGGCGAAAAGAACCCCUGUGAGGGGAGUGAAAUAGAACCUGAAACCGUGUACGUACAAGCAGUAGGAGCACCUUCGUGGUGUGACUGCGUACCUUUUGUAUAAUGGGUCAGCGACUUAUAUUCAGUGGCAAGGUUAACCAUCUAGGGGAGCCGUAGGGAAACCGAGUCUUAACUGGGCGUUCAGUCUCUGGAUAUAGACCCGAAACCAGGUGAUCUAGCCAUGGGCAGGUUGAAGGUUGAGUAACAUCAACUGGAGGACCGAACCGACUAAUGUUGAAAAAUUAGCGGAUGACUUGUGGCUAGGGGUGAAAGGCCAAUCAAACCUGGAGAUAGCUGGUUCUCCCCGAAAGCUAUUUAGGUAGCGCCUCGGACGAAUACUACUGGGGGUAGAGCACUGUUAAGGCUAGGGGGUCAUCCCGACUUACCAACCCUUUGCAAACUCCGAAUACCAGUAAGUACUAUCCGGGAGACACACGGCGGGUGCUAACGUCCGUCGUGGAGAGGGAAACAACCCAGACCGCCAGCUAAGGUCCCAAAUUACUACUAAGUGGGAAACGAUGUGGGAAGGCUCAGACAGCCAGGAUGUUGGCUUAGAAGCAGCCAUCAUUUAAAGAAAGCGUAAUAGCUCACUGGUCGAGUCGGCCUGCGCGGAAGAUGUAACGGGGCUAAGUAGUAAACCGAAGCUGCGGCAAUGCACUUUAGUGCAUUGGGUAGGGGAGCGUUCUGUAAGCGGUUGAAGGUGUGUGGUAACGCAUGCUGGACGUAUCAGAAGUGCGAAUGCUGACAUGAGUAACGAUAAAGGGGGUGAAAAACCUCCUCGCCGGAAGACCAAGGGUUCCUGUCCAACGUUAAUCGGGGCAGGGUAAGUCGACCCCUAAGGCGAGGCCGAAAGGCGUAGUCGAUGGGAAACGGGUUAAUAUUCCCGUACUUCUUACAAUUGCGAUGGGGGGACGGAGAAGGCUAGGUGGGCCUGGCGACGGUUGUCCAGGUUCAAGUGCGUAGGCUGAAAAGUUAGGUAAAUCCGGCUCUUCUUAAGGCUGAGACACGACGUCGAGCUACUACGGUAGUGAAGUCAUUGAUGCCAUGCUUCCAGGAAAAGCCUCUAAGCUUCAGAUUGUAAGGAAUCGUACCCCAAACCGACACAGGUGGUCGGGUAGAGAAUACCAAGGCGCUUGAGAGAACUCGGGUGAAGGAACUAGGCAAAAUGGUACCGUAACUUCGGGAGAAGGUACGCUCUCGACGGUGAAGUCCCUCGCGGAUGGAGCUAUUGAGAGUCGCAGAUACCAGGUGGCUGCAACUGUUUAUUAAAAACACAGCACUGUGCAAAAUCGUAAGAUGACGUAUACGGUGUGACGCCUGCCCGGUGCCGGAAGGUUAAUUGAUGGGGUUAGACUUCGGUCGAAGCUCUUGAUCGAAGCCCCGGUAAACGGCGGCCGUAACUAUAACGGUCCUAAGGUAGCGAAAUUCCUUGUCGGGUAAGUUCCGACCUGCACGAAUGGCGUAAUGAUGGCCACGCUGUCUCCACCCGAGACUCAGUGAAAUUGAAAUCGCUGUGAAGAUGCAGUGUACCCGCGGCUAGACGGAAAGACCCCGUGAACCUUUACUACAGCUUGGCACUGAACAUUGACCCUACAUGUGUAGGAUAGGUGGGAGGCUUUGAAACUAGUACGCCAGUAUUAGUGGAGCCGUCCUUGAAAUACCACCCUUGUAGUGUUGAUGUUCUAACGUUGACCCCUUAUCGGGGUUGCGGACAGUGCCUGGUGGGUAGUUUGACUGGGGCGGUCUCCUCCCAAAGCGUAACGGAGGAGCACGAAGGUGGGCUAAUCACGGUUGGACAUCGUGAGGUUAGUGCAAUGGCAUAAGCCCGCUUGACUGCGAGAAUGACAAUUCGAGCAGGUGCGAAAGCAGGUCAUAGUGAUCCGGUGGUUCUGAAUGGAAGGGCCAUCGCUCAACGGAUAAAAGGUACUCCGGGGAUAACAGGCUGAUACCGCCCAAGAGUUCAUAUCGACGGCGGUGUUUGGCACCUCGAUGUCGGCUCAUCACAUCCUGGGGCUGAAGUCGGUCCCAAGGGUAUGGCUGUUCGCCAUUUAAAGUGGUACGCGAGCUGGGUUUAGAACGUCGUGAGACAGUUCGGUCCCUAUCUGCCGUGGGCGUUGGAAGAUUGAAGGGGGCUGCUCCUAGUACGAGAGGACCGGAGUGGACGAACCUCUGGUGUUCGGGUUGUGUCGCCAGACGCAUUGCCCGGUAGCUAAGUUCGGAAUCGAUAACCGCUGAAAGCAUCUAAGCGGGAAGCGAGCCCUGAGAUGAGUCUUCCCUGAUACUUUAAGUAUCCUAAAGGGUUGUUCGAGACUAGAACGUUGAUAGGCAGGGUGUGUAAGCGUUGUGAGGCGUUGAGCUAACCUGUACUAAUUGCCCGUGAGGCUUAACCAU